RNAcentral lists this ribosomal RNA (1011 nucleotides) under Triticum aestivum (bread wheat). Its description in RNAcentral is "partial small subunit ribosomal RNA". Lineage: Eukaryota; Viridiplantae; Streptophyta; Magnoliopsida; Poales; Poaceae. The record is from RNAcentral.
AUGUCUUCUUCCCCCAAUAGCGACGACAACGGCAAGAAGAACCCGCUGGACGCCAUGGGCGCCUUCUUCUCGGCGCAGGUGAACCGCCGCAAGCUGGUGACCACGCAGAAGCUGGCCAUGUCCGAGCGCUGCACCUCCUGCGGCGACGAGUUUCCCGGCUGCGCCCACCGCCCCGCCGACCGCAAGACGUGGAUGGCGGAGCUGGGGCCCGACCGCCUGCGCGUGCACCAGGUGGUGUGGCCGGGCACCCACGACUCGGCCACCAACAAGAUCGGCAUCCCCUUCAUCACCCGCCCCUUCGCGCAGUGCCAGUCGCUCUCCGUCUACCACCAGCUCGCCCUCGGCUGCCGCCUCCUCGACGUCCGCGUGCAGGAGGAGCGCCGCGUCUGCCACGGCGUGCUCGCCACCUAUUCCGUCGACGUCGUGCUCGACGACGUGCUGCGCUUCCUGGCCGAGACCCAGUCGGAGGUCCUGGUGCUGGAGAUCCGCACCGAGUUCGGCCGCGAGGACCCGCCGGACUUCGCCAAGUACCUGGUGGAGCGGCUCGGGGAGCACCUGAUCCCGCAGGACGAGGCGGUGUUCGGCAAGACGGUGGCGGAGCUGCUCCCGAGGCGGGUGAUCUGCGUGUGGAAGCCGCGCAAGUCGCCGGCGCCCGGGCGCGGCGAGCCGCUGUGGAGCUCCGGCUACCUGCGGGACAACUGGAUCGACACGGACCUGCCGGAGACCAAGUACGAGAGCAACCUCAAGUUCCUGGGCCAGCAGCCGCCGGCGAGGGACCGGCGGUACCUGUACCGGGUGGAGAACACGGUGACGCCGCAGGCCGACAACCCGGUGGUGUGCGUGCGGCCCGUCACGAACCGCAUCCGCGGCUACGCGCGCAGCUUCAUCGCCGAGGCCUUCGCCAAGGGCCUCGGCGACCGGCUCCAGGUCUUCUCCACCGACUUCAUCGACGGCGACUUCGUCGACGCCUGCGCCGGCGUCACCAAGGCCCGCGUCGACGGCACCGCGUGA